Molecule: ribosomal RNA, 640 nt
Filed under: Microbacterium sp.
Lineage: Bacteria; Bacillati; Actinomycetota; Actinomycetes; Micrococcales; Microbacteriaceae
Description: bacterial SSU rRNA
Rfam family: Bacterial small subunit ribosomal RNA
Source: RNAcentral
AGCCCAGCUUGCUGGGUGGAUUAGUGGCGAACGGGUGAGUAACACGUGAGCAACCUGCCCCUGACUCUGGGAUAAGCGCUGGAAACGGCGUCUAAUACUGGAUAUGUCCCGUCACCGCAUGGUGUGCGGGUGGAAAGAUUUUUCGGUUGGGGAUGGGCUCGCGGCCUAUCAGCUUGUUGGUGAGGUAAUGGCUCACCAAGGCGUCGACGGGUAGCCGGCCUGAGAGGGUGACCGGCCACACUGGGACUGAGACACGGCCCAGACUCCUACGGGAGGCAGCAGUGGGGAAUAUUGCACAAUGGGCGCAAGCCUGAUGCAGCAACGCCGCGUGAGGGAUGACGGCCUUCGGGUUGUAAACCUCUUUUAGCAGGGAAGAAGCGAGAGUGACGGUACCUGCAGAAAAAGCACCGGCUAACUACGUGCCAGCAGCCGCGGUAAUACGUAGGGUGCAAGCGUUAUCCGGAAUUAUUGGGCGUAAAGAGCUCGUAGGCGGUCUGUCGCGUCUGCUGUGAAAUCCCGAGGCUCAACCUCGGGCUUGCAGUGGGUACGGGCAGACUAGAGUGCGGUAGGGGAGAUUGGAAUUCCUGGUGUAGCGGUGGAAUGCGCAGAUAUCAGGAGGAACACCGAUGGCGAAGGCAGA